AUUCAAUUGGCACGUUUCGUUUUACGCUCCGUGUUGACAGAUACAGUAAUUCCACAACUCUGCUCAUUCAUAACAAUAAACUGAAACGAUAUAAACAACAAAAACAGUGGUUUUAAUUUACGAAACACACACAGCAGCUGACAGUACUUUAUCGUGUAACAAAAGUGAAUAACUACCAACCAACCAAUGGCGGUAAAGAUCGCUGCCAAAAUGGAGGCAAAAAUGGCGCCUCCGGUUUGUUUAUUAUGAGUUGAUAAGAAUUUUUAUAAGUUGAAAACUAGUCUCUGAGGUUAUAUGCUAAAAUUGGUUUCCUCGAACAAUACUUUUACAUGGAUGAACAACAUAAAGACUGCAGUACAUACAGAUGAAAGCAAGUGAAGACAUAUGCCCCAUUCUGUGAAGAUAUAACUUUAUGAUUUGUUAUAUGGAAAUUUGUCAUUGCUCAUAUUCAGAGGGAAUAUAGACUUCCCAGAGAAGACUGUGUUUAAGUAAUUUUGUAUGGUGCAAUUACAUAUUGUUUAUUCUAGCAAUUUCUGUAACAUUGCUUUAUGUGAGAGAACCACUGAUAGCACAAUAUAAUACUAUAAGUAAAGUACA
Molecule: long non-coding RNA, 597 nt
Organism: Papilio polytes (common Mormon)
Lineage: Eukaryota; Metazoa; Arthropoda; Insecta; Lepidoptera; Papilionidae
Exons: 3
Source: RefSeq, a predicted model, not a curated record